AUCAAAAACAUGUCUUUUAGUUUAAAAUUAAAGGUCUGGUCUGCUCAAUGAGAAUUAAAUAGCUGCAGAAAUUUUAACUGUACUAAGGUAGCAUAAUAAAUUGUUUAUUAAUUGUAAACUUGAAUGAAUGAUUUAAUAAAAUAUUUACUGUUUUUAAUAAAUUAAAUUUAAUUUAAUUUUUAAGUUAAAAAGCUUAAAUAUUAUAAAGGGACGAGAAGACCCUAUAGAUUUUAAUAUUUUAUAUAUAAAAUCUUUUUAUUUUUUAAAUAUUUUAUGUAUAAAAUAUUUAAAUGGGGUUUUUUAAAAAUAAGAAAAUUUUUUAAAAUUUUUAACAAUGUUAAUUGAUGAAUUAAUAAUUAAAAGAAUAAUAUUUAGUUUUUUAAGAUAAAAAUACCUUAGGGAUAACAGCAUAAUAAUUUUUUUAAAUC
This 428-nucleotide ribosomal RNA is filed under the name Papatuka sp. DERV065. Its description in RNAcentral is "partial 16S ribosomal RNA". Lineage: Eukaryota; Metazoa; Arthropoda; Insecta; Hymenoptera; Evaniidae. The record is from RNAcentral.